UACGUAGGGUGUAGGCGUUAAUCGGAAUUACUGGGCGUAAAGCGUGCGCAGGCGGCUUUGCAAGACAGAUGUGAAAUCCCCGGGCUCAACCUGGGAACUGCAUUUGUGACUGCAUGGCUGGAGUGCGGCAGAGGGGGAUGGAAUUCCGCGUGUAGCAGUGAAAUGCGUAGAUAUGCGGAGGAACACCGAUGGCGAAGGCAAUCCCCUGGGCCUGCACUGACGCUCAUGCACGAAAGCGUGGGGAGCAAACAGG
Molecule: ribosomal RNA, 253 nt
Filed under: uncultured bacterium
Lineage: Bacteria
Description: partial 16S ribosomal RNA
Rfam family: Bacterial small subunit ribosomal RNA
Source: RNAcentral